RNAcentral lists this long non-coding RNA (2601 nucleotides) under Homo sapiens (human). RNAcentral's name for it is "non-protein coding lnc-KCTD15-4:1". Lineage: Eukaryota; Metazoa; Chordata; Mammalia; Primates; Hominidae. The record is from RNAcentral.
AUCACACACAGGCCUAUGUAAAAUCAGUGUUGAAAUUGUGCUUUUCAGGUCUCAUUGCUUGGUUUUCCAUUACUGCGCUGAGACCUGUUAAAACCUUCCAUUUUGAUGGUGGAUUUGUUAAUUUUCCUUGUGAUUGCCACUUUUUGCUUUAUUACACACACACACACACACACACACACACACAAACACACAUAUACUUAUACACACAUACACAUACACACAUAUAUUGCCCAGGCUGGUCUCAAACUCCUGGGCUCAAGCAAUCCUCCCACCUUUGCCUCCCAAAGCACUGGGAUUACAGGCAUGAGCCAUUGUGCCCAGCCAACAUACAUACUUAACUAUAAAUUUUUUAGCAAGUCUAAAGUUAUUAUCUCUGUUAUCCUCCAAAACAAGCAAGGACCUUUGCAUACCAGAACUGUACACUGAGCAUUCUCUCUUGUCUUCCUUAUUGUUAUAACUGAGAAUUUUUCCCACCUUAAUACAAAAAAGUAUCAUUAAUAUUUACAGUAGGGCUGGGUGUGGUGGCUCACGUCUGUAAUCUCAGCACUUUGGGAGGCUAAGAUGGGUGGAUCACCUGAGGUCAGGAGUUCGAGACCAGCCUGGCCAACAUGGUAAAAGCCUGUCUCUACCACAAAUCCAAAAAGUAGCUAGGUGUGGUGCUGUGCACCUGUGAUCCCAGCUACUUGGAAAGCUGAGGCAGGAGAAUUACUUGAACUCGGGAGGCGGAGAUUGCAGUGAGCCAAGAUCACACCACUGCACUCCAGCCUGGGUGACAGAGUGAAACUCCGUCCCAAAAAAACCCAUAUUUACAGUAGAUAGUUAAUUAAAUUUACUUAUAAAUUAUACCAAUGUUCAUGUAUUUUAAAUCUCACUCCUUCUCUGUGAGUUCAUUUUUCUUCUUGCCAAAAUGUAUCCUUUAAAAUUCAAUUUCAGGGCAAGCCCUCUUAGUUUUGGAUGUCUGAAAAUGUCUUUAUUUUGCCCUCAUUCCUGAAUAAUUGAGUAGGAUGACCUUUACUUUCCCGUAGCACUUUAUAAAAAUAUUAUAUUACUACAUUGUUUCCUGGGCAUCUCUUGAUGCCAGAAUGUUUACAGCUGUUCUAACUGUUGGUAAGUCUCUUUUCUUCCUGUAAACUUUGAGGUUUUUCUCUUUGUUUUGAUAUUCUGGAGUUUUACCAAGAUUACGAAUUUAUUUUUACUGUUUAGCAGUUUGUGUACAUUUUUCUGGAACAUUCUCAGCCAUUAUCCUCUCAGUUUAUUACUUUUUCUACCAGAACCCUGUUCUCUUCUUUUAGGACUCCAUAUUAGAUGAAUGGGGUGCUUUUUAACAAUUGCGUCAGAUUCCAGAGUGUGGAUUUAUUCAUUUAAACAUUUAUUAUUUUUAAUAGUUUGUUUGACUAUUCUUCUUCUAAUGGAAAUUUAUACUUUUCUACUAAAAACAAUGCUAUAGCCAAUGAUUUUAUUUCUCUCUUUUUGCUAGAUUCUAUUUUUAUUGUUUCAUGGUUAGGUAAUGACUUUUUUUUUUUUUUUUUUUUUUUGAGAUGGCGUCUUGCUCCUGUUGCCCAGGCUGGAGUGCAGUGGCACAAUCUCGGCUCACUGUAGCCUCCGCCUCCCGGGUUCAAGCGAUUCUCCUGCCUCAGCCUCCCGAGUAGCUGGGAUUACAGGCAAGCGCCACCACACCCGGCUAAUUUUGUAUUUUUGGUAGAGAUGGGGUUUCACCAUGUUGGCCAGGCUGAUUUCGAACUCCUAACCUCAGGUGAUCCACCUUCCUUAGCCUCCCAAAGUGCUGGGAUUACAGGUGUGAGCCACCCCAACCAGCCAGGUAAUGACUUCUAUUGAGAUUUUUUUCCUGUAGUCCAAUAUAAGCCCAUUUUGCUAAAUAAUCUGUAAGUAAACUAUAUUCUGUUUGCUGAGCACAAAAAUGUGAGAGGGAGUGCCAGAUUUUGUCUGUUGAAUCCUUAAUAAUCUCAAUUUUGUUUGCACAAUUUGUUCAUUUAAAAAGUGUUCAGGCCAGGCACAGUGGCUCACACCUGUAAUCCCUUUGGGAGGCCGAGGUGGGAGGCCUGCUUGAGCCCAGGAGUUGGAGAGAUCUUGUCUCUACAAAAAAAUUAAAAAAAUAACCAGGAAAGGUGGCUUGUGCCUGAAAUCCCAGCUACUCAAGAGGCUGAGGUGGGAGGAUCACCUGAGCCCAGGGAGGUGGAGGCUGCAGUGAGCUGUGAUCGCACCCCUGCACUCCAGCCUGGGUGACAGAGCAAGACCCUGUUUAAAAAAAAAAUAAAAAUAAAGAGUGUUAAAAACUUUAUGUGUCGAGAUUUAUCAAGUCCCCUUCUUUUGCCCUAAUCAUUUGUUUUGUAGACUUGGAAGCUAUGUUGUGAGACGUACAGGUUUCUGUUCAUGGCAGUCACUCCACGGGGCUGAUCCCUGGAAUCCUCCUGAAGCUUUUGGGGACCUCACAACUGGGCCCUGGGCUCCACCAGGCUUCCUGGCCCCUGAGGGGCUGCCCAGCCUUCCUCACAGGCUGUCUGUGGUGGCCUGCAGGGCUCCUUGCUGUGUCUGACCAGCCUUCCUCUGUGGAUACGGGCCCCACCCCUCACCCCAUUUUUA